Molecule: ribosomal RNA, 375 nt
Filed under: uncultured organism
Description: partial 16S ribosomal RNA
Rfam family: Bacterial small subunit ribosomal RNA
Source: RNAcentral
GUAGGUGGCAAGCGUUGUCCGGGAAUUAUUGGGCGUAAAGCGCGCGCAGGCGGUCCUUUAAGUCUGAUGUGAAAGCCCACGGGCUCAACCGUGGAGGGUCAUUGGAAACUGGGGGACUUGAGUACAGAAGAGGAAAGCGGAAUUCCAAGUGUAGCGGUGAAAUGCGUAGAGAUUUGGAGGAACACCAGUGGCGAAGGCGGCUCUCUGGUCUGUAACUGACGCUGAGGCGCGAAAGCGUGGGGAGCAAACAGGAUUAGAUACCCUGGUAGUCCACGCCGUAAACGAUGAGUGCUAAGUGUUAGGGGGUUUCCGCCCCUUAGUGCUGCAGCUAACGCAUUAAGCACUCCGCCUGGGGAGUACGGCCGCAAAGGCUGA